This 494-nucleotide ribosomal RNA is filed under the name uncultured bacterium. Its description in RNAcentral is "partial 16S ribosomal RNA". It matches the Rfam family "Bacterial small subunit ribosomal RNA", at positions 28 to 523 of the family's 1533-position model. The record is from RNAcentral.
GAUGAACGCUAGCGGCAGGCCUAACACAUGCAAGUCGAGGGGUAGUUGUCUUCGGACAAUGAGACCGGCGCACGGGUGCGUAACGCGUAUGCAAUCUACCUUAUACUAAGGGAUAGCCCAGAGAAAUUUGGAUUAAUACCUUAUAGUUAAUAGAGUUGGCAUCGACUUUAUUAUAAAGAUUAAUUGGUAUAAGAUGAGCAUGCGUCCCAUUAGUUAGUUGGUAAGGUAACGGCUUACCAAGACGAUGAUGGGUAGGGGUCCUGAGAGGGAGAUCCCCCACACUGGUACUGAGACACGGACCAGACUCCUACGGGAGGCAGCAGUGAGGAAUAUUGGUCAAUGGGCGCAAGCCUGAACCAGCCAUGCCGCGUGCAGGAUGAAGCAUCUAUGGUGUGUAAACUGCUUUUGUACGGGAAGAAAAAAAGCUACGUGUAGCUUACUGACGGUACCGUAAGAAUAAGGAUCGGCUAACUCCGUGCCAGCCGCCGCCGUAA